This 24-nucleotide non-coding RNA is filed under the name Arabidopsis thaliana (thale cress). Lineage: Eukaryota; Viridiplantae; Streptophyta; Magnoliopsida; Brassicales; Brassicaceae. The record is from RNAcentral.
UUUCGAUAUUAUAUGUUUAGUCCC